This 389-nucleotide ribosomal RNA is filed under the name uncultured bacterium. RNAcentral's name for it is "bacterial SSU rRNA". It matches the Rfam family "Bacterial small subunit ribosomal RNA", at positions 28 to 417 of the family's 1533-position model. The record is from RNAcentral.
AUUGAACGCUGGCGGCAUGCUUUACACAUGCAAGUCGAGCGGCAGCGCGGGGGCAACCCUGGCGGCGAGCGGCGAACGGGUGAGUAAUGCAUCGGAACGUACCCUGGAGUGGGGGAUAACGCCGCGAAAGCGGCGCUAAUACCGCAUAUGCUCUGAGGAGGAAAGUGGGGGGACCCGCAAGGGCCUCAUGCUCUGGGAGCGGCCGAUGUCCGAUUAGCUAGUUGGUGAGGUAAAGGCUUACCAAGGCGACGAUCGGUAGCUGGUCUGAGAGGAUGAUCAGCCACACUGGGACUGAGACACGGCCCAGACUCCUACGGGAGGCAGCAGUGGGGAAUUUGGACAAUGGGGGCAACCCUGAUCCAGCCAUGCCGCGUGAGUGAAGAAGGCCU